RNA transcript from Mangifera indica (mango), 3601 nucleotides. It is a transcript of the gene named importin-4, with no coding region annotated. Lineage: Eukaryota; Viridiplantae; Streptophyta; Magnoliopsida; Sapindales; Anacardiaceae. The record is from RefSeq and is a predicted model, not a curated record. The transcript has 21 exons.
AAGUAAUUUUGUGUAGAAAACCCCAGUGUAUAAGUCUUAAAGACCAAGCAAAGGCGUAGUAGGGUUUUUGUCUUCUCGAGUUGAGCUGCAAAAGGUUAAAGAAAUGGCUCAAUCCCUAGAAUUAUUGUUGAUUCAGUUCCUAAUGCCAGAUAACGACGCCCGACGGCAAGCGGAGGAGCAGAUAAAGAGGUUAGCAAAGGAUCCUCAGGUUGUUCCCGCUCUAAUUCAACAUCUCCGCACCGCCAAGACUCCCAACGUCCGCCAGCUGGCAGCCGUCCUCCUCCGCAAGAAGAUCACUGGACACUGGGCCAAACUUUCUCCUCAGCUCAAGCACCUCGUCAAGCAAUCUCUCAUUGAGAGCAUCACCAUUGAGCACAGUCCACCUGUGAGGCGUGCUAGUGCAAAUGUUGUGAGUAUAAUUGCCAAAUAUGCGGUACCAGCAGGUGAGUGGCCUGAGUUGUUGCCCUUCUUAUUCCAGUGUAGUCAGAGUGCACAAGAAGACCAUAGAGAAGUGGCAUUGAUCCUUUUUAGCUCUUUAACUGAAACAAUUGGAAGUGCAUUCCAACCACAUUUUGCUGAUUUGCAAGCUCUAUUACUCAAGUGCCUACAGGAUGAGACAAGCAAUCGUGUUAGAAUUGCUGCUUUAAAGGCAGUUGGAUCAUUUCUAGAAUUUACAAUUGAUGGGGCUGAAGUGGUGAAGUUUCGGGAGUUUAUUCCUAGUAUUUUAAAUGUGUCAAGACAAUGCCUGGCCUCUGGUGAAGAAGAUGUUGCUGUAAUUGCUUUUGAAAUUUUUGACGAGCUGAUUGAAUCUCCUGCACCUCUUCUUGGGGAUUCUGUCAGAUCCAUUGUGCAAUUCUCUCUUGAAGUUUGUUCAAGCCAAAAUCUGGAAUCCAAUACACGCCAUCAGGCAAUUCAGAUAAUUUCGUGGUUGGCUAAGUACAAAUCCAACUCAUUAAAAAAGCAUAAGCUGGUUGUCCCUAUUCUGCAAGUCAUGUGCCCAUUGCUUGCUGAAUCAAACAAUGCUGAUGAAGAUGAUGACCUUGCACCAGAUCGAGCUGCUGCAGAAGUUAUUGACACAAUGGCAUUGAGCCUCUCAAAGCAUGUGUUCCCCCCUGUUUUUGAAUUUGCUUCUUUAAGCAGUCAGAAUGCAAAUCCAAAGUAUCGAGAAGCUUCUGUCACAGCUUUAGGUGUCAUUUCAGAGGGCUGUGUGGAGUGGAUGAAAGAUAAGAUUGAACCUAUUCUCCAAAUUGUCUUGGCAGCUCUGAGGGAUCCAGAGCAGAUGGUUAGAGGAGCUGCCUCAUUUGCAUUGGGCCAGUUUGCUGAGCAUUUGCAGCCUGAAAUCAUAUCUCACUAUGAAACUGUUCUUCACUGCAUUUUGAAUGCCCUAGAGGAUGCAUCUGAAGAAGUAAAGGAAAAGUCAUACUAUGCGUUGGCAGCAUUUUGUGAGAACAUGGGAGAGGAGAUUCUUCCCUUUCUUGAUCCUUUGAUGGGGAAGCUACUUGCAGCUCUCCAAAAUAGUUCCCGCAAUUUGCAGGAGACUUGCAUGUCUGCAAUUGGUUCAGUGGCAGCUGCUGCAGAGCAUGCUUUCAUUCCAUAUGCUGAAAGGGUUCUGGAGUUACUGAAAACUUUCAUGGUGCUUACCCAUGAUGAGGACCUGCGUGCACGAGCAAGAGCUACAGAGCUCCUUGGAAUAGUUGCUAUGUCUGUUGGAAGAGAAAGAAUGGAACCGAUUUUGCCACCUUAUAUUGAAGCUGCAAUCUCUGGCUUUGGACUGGAAUUCAGUGAACUUCGGGAGUAUACUCAUGGAUUUUUUAGCAAUGUGGCAGAAAUACUGGAUGAUGGGUUUAAACAGUAUCUUCCUCAUGUUGUUCCCCUGGUAUUUUCUUCCUGUAAUCUUGAUGAUGGUUCUGCUGUGGAUAUCGACGAUUCUGAUGAUGAAAAUAUUAAUGGAUUUGGUGGAGUUUCAUCUGAUGAUGAAGCUCAUUAUGAGCCAAGAGUUCGGAAUAUCAGUAUUAGAACAGGUGUGUUAGAUGAGAAGGCAGCUGCAACUCAAGCUCUUGGUUUAUUUGCGCUGCAUACAAAGAGUUCUUAUGCACCCUAUUUGGAGGAGUCAUUAAAGAUUUUGGUGAGACAUUCAGGCUAUUUUCACGAAGAUGUUAGGCUUCAGGCUGUGAUUUCCUUAAAGCAUAUCUUGACGGCAGCACAUGCUAUCUUCCAGAGUCAUAAUGAAGGACCAGUGAAGGCAAGAGCUAUUCUUGAUACUGUGAUGAAUAUAUUUAUCAAGACUAUGACUGAAGAUGACGACAAAGAAGUUGUUGCUCAAGCCUGUAUGAGCAUUGUAGAGAUCAUCAAGGAUUAUGGCUACAUUGCUGUUGAGUCUUAUAUGUCUUCUUUGGUUGAUGCAACUCUGCGGCUGCUUCGGGAGGAAUCUACUUGUCAGCAAUCGGAUAAUGAUAGUGAUAUUGAUGACAGUGAUACUGAACAUGAUGAAGUGCUUAUGGAUGCAGUUUCUGACCUUCUUCCGGCGUUUGCAAAGUCAAUGGGUCCUCACUUUGCACCCAUAUUUGCAAAGCUAUUUGACCCUUUAAUGAAAUUCGCGAGAUCUUCACGUCCUCCACAAGAUCGGACCAUGGUGGUUGCUUGCCUUGCUGAAGUUGCUCAGGACAUGGGUGCUCCAAUUGCUGGCUAUGUUGAUAGGGUGAUGCCUUUGGUGCUCAAAGAACUAGCAUCAUCAGAAGCAACUAACAGGAGGAAUGCAGCAUUUUGUGCUGGGGAGUUGUGCAAAAAUGGGGGCGAGUUAAGUUUGAAAUACUACGGUGAUAUUUUGCGAGGACUUUACCCAUUAUUUGGGGACUCUGAGCCAGAUGAUGCUGUUAGAGAUAAUGCAGCUGGUGCUGUGGCAAGGAUGAUAAUUGUGCAUCCUCAAUCCGUCCCAUUGAAUCAGGUCCUUCCUGUUUUCCUGAAAGUUCUUCCUCUAAAGGAAGACCGUGAAGAAUCCAUGGCUGUUUAUAGUUGUGUUUCCUCUCUGGUUUUGCAAUCGAACCCUCAGAUCCUUUCUCUUGUUCCCGAGUUGGUCAAUAUUUUUGCCCAUGUCGUGGUUUCCCCAGAUGAAACUUCUGAAGUAAAGGUUCUAGUUGGCCGGACAUUUUCUCAUCUGAUUUCUCUCUAUGGCCAACAAAUUCAACCAUUGCUGAGUAGCCUGUCGCCGGCGCAUGCCAAUGCCCUAGCCACAUUUGCCCCCAAAAGCUGAUGUGUUAUUUAAUCGAACUUCUCUUCCCCAAUUUUGCUUUUCUUUUCUUCAAUGUGUGUCAAAGGAAUGGUUUGUUAGCGGUAAUUUGAUCAAAAAUCAGGUCUUUUGGGCCUUGGUUGUGUAUUGCUACCACCAGCUUUCUUGUGUGGAUUCGCUUCUUUAUCCUCAAAUUUAUAUUGGUAUUUACAGGUUUCGAUUAUCAAUAUUUGUUUUCUCAUGAUUUAUUUGUUUAUAUAUUUAUUUAUUUUUAUUGUUGGUUGUUUGAGAUUCAGCGCUGCUUCAAUUUGUUUUUUCAACUCCUAUAAUAAAUAGAUAGGUUAUUGAGUGAUAUACAAAUUAAAUUCUGUGCAA